GGAUGGGGAUCAGCAUAAAAAUAUGAUUCAAUUAAGAAUGACAUGCAAACGUUCGCGCCCCGCCGGAUUAGUGACAUCUGAACGACGGGUACGUGUCAGUGUUCCUCUUCCUCGGUGCUCAAUUGCUCAUGUGCUGAUUUUCCGAGU
Non-coding RNA from Caenorhabditis elegans, 147 nucleotides. The record is from Ensembl. Lineage: Eukaryota; Metazoa; Nematoda; Chromadorea; Rhabditida; Rhabditidae.